CGAGCUGGGUUUAGAACGUCGUGAGACAGUUCGGUCCCUAUCUGCCGUGGGCGUUGGAAAUUUGAGAGGAGCUGCUCCUAGUACGAGAGGACCGGAGUGGACGUACCCCUGGUGUUCGGGUUGUCAUGCCAAUGGCAUUGCCCGGUAGCUAUGUACGGACGGGAUAACCGCUGAAAGCAUCUAAGCGGGAAGCCCCCCUCAAGAUUAGAUUUCCCCGAGCUUUAAGCUCCUGAAGGGCCGUAGAAGACCACUACGUUGAUAGGUUGGGUGUGGAAGUGCAGUAAUGUAUGAAGCUAACCAAUACUAAUUGCCCGUGAGGCUUGACCAUAUAACCCCAAGUAAGUUGGG
Molecule: ribosomal RNA, 348 nt
Filed under: Pseudidiomarina aestuarii
Lineage: Bacteria; Pseudomonadati; Pseudomonadota; Gammaproteobacteria; Alteromonadales; Idiomarinaceae
Description: bacterial LSU rRNA
Rfam family: Bacterial large subunit ribosomal RNA
Source: RNAcentral